Molecule: long non-coding RNA, 3161 nt
Organism: Lolium perenne
Lineage: Eukaryota; Viridiplantae; Streptophyta; Magnoliopsida; Poales; Poaceae
Source: RefSeq, a predicted model, not a curated record
CCGUCGUCCUUCAUCCACCCCGCAUGGGCUUGUCGACCUGGCCCGUUAAAGCUUCCAGAAAUCACGCCCAAGCAAAUCACGAUUGCUUUUCUCUCGUGAUCCUGCCAGCGAGUCUCCCCUAAGCUGAGCCGCCUCCGCCGCCGCCAUGCCCAGUCGUACACCCCACCCCCAGCGAGUUUCCCACGCGUUCUCUCGAUCUCCAGGACGACGCCGCAUCAGCUACCUCGAACAGCGGACUUCUUCCCGCCCGGCGACCAGCCUGGAGGCUAGAUUGACGGCCCCAGGUGGCUGAUCCAUUCCACCCAGGAGACGCGCGGUGGAGGCGCGCAGGGGGACUGGAGGAACGGGGCGGCGCGGAGAUGGAGGAGCGGGGCAGCGCGGCCCCACUAGCGCAGGCAGGCCUGGUGUCAGAGGUCGCCAUGGGAGGUUGUGAAGGACGUAGAGGCCAAAGACCUUUCAUCAGUUCCUCCUUUCAAGGUAUGAUGCAAUCGUGCAAUCACCCUAUGUCCCUAAUCCCUAAUUGGUGACAUGAUAGAUGUAUCUCAAGGCAUUUCAAUAUUUCUCGAUGUAGCCAACUGGAUCGAGGGUCAUUUGAAUGGUUCCAUAAUUCCAUGCAACCUCCUGCAGUUUUAUCCUUGCGAGUUCAGAGGAUUGAGUUUCUUUACGCCAUAGUGCAAUAUGUUGGGGGACUUCCCAUGACUUGAUGAUUCUUUUUCUUGAAUGGCUGUGAAUAUGUCGGGGGACUUCCCAUGAGCGCAUAUGAGUGCAAUAUGUGCAUGAAAUUACAAAACAACAAUGCUUCUAUGUCGAUCUUGCAGGUAGGUAUGAGCACCAUGUUUACUAAGGCAGUCCACUAUGCAACGUUCCUGCAGUUUCAGAUCAAGGUGAGGAUUUAGCCAUUUGUUUAUGUUUCGGAUCAUCGAGAUAGUUAUUUUUUUGGGUGUAAAGAGCUUCACUUGGUACUAAUUAAUAGUUCUAUCUGUUGUUGAUGACAAAUACCUUUUCUUCAUGUGAACCUUCCACUUGGUCAUCACUUGAUGAUUCCAUGCACCUCCUGGUUCCUGCAGUGUCAUCCUUCAGAGUUCAGAGCUUUUCAGUUCCUUUAUAUUCACUGCUUAUACUAGGGCAGAGAACUCACCCCAUGCAUGCGGCCACCGCUGUCCAUGACUAUUUCGACACGGAAAAAAUGUCGAGGUAGUCUAUCGGAUCGGCAGCUGCAUCACUUCCACCCCACAGGCAGAGGCUCUGCUUCACCACUGCUGUUCACUGCACACUCUCCAAAUGAUCGAUAAAUGCCAUACUUUCUUUACUGUUUUAUAUAAAUCUUUUGCAUUAGCCAUCCAAUUGGUUGAAGCAAGUUACAUUUAAUUUUAUUCUAAAUUUCAAUGAUGAUUCGAAAGGCGUAAACAUCUGCAAAUAUCACAAGUACUAUUUAUCUUCUCGCUCACUCUGUGCUAGGUGACACUCUGAUAAUGGAAGAUUGGAUUUGUGCUUUUAUAAUAAUUAAUAGAUCUUAUAUUAACACUGUUAUGUGUACACGCAUUUGUCGAAAUUUGGUUUCUCGUAGUUGUUAACGCUGCAUGUUAAUCUUAUCACACCUCCGAUUAAUCCUCAUGUUUGUAGGAGCCAUGGCUGUAUAAUAUGUUUUGUACCAUUCGCAGGUAGCAGAGGAAAUAUGACUGGAAGUGUAUCUUGUAAAAUUUCUCUUUAAAGCAUUUCAAUACUACAAUGCUAAGGCUACUAUGCUACUCUUCGUGUACUGUAAUCUCUAAAAAGUUAAUGAUUUUUCAUUGUACCGAACUCUCAUGCUACUUAUAUUUCACACAAAUGAGGGUUUAAAAAUUUUCAGUAGAGUAAGGUAGGAAGGAGAAAAAGGAGGGAGGUGAUAUCUUGAAGCACCAAGAUAAAGAAGUUUAGUGCUUGUGAUAGUUCAGUUAUUCAAGAAUCCACCUUUCAGAUGAUGCACCAAAGAACUUCUCAGUAUCAGCUCCAGCGAAAUCCAAAUGUUGAUAUUAACUUUGGUUCAGUGAGUACGGUAGGAAUGAGAAAAGGAGGGAGGAGAUAUCUUGAAGCACCAAUAUAAAGAACUGAGCUUUGCAUUAGCUCAUAUUCCCAUUCAUUAUAAGAAGCUAAGUAGCGGGCAAAUAUAUUACUUUCAAGCAUGAAUGUUGCAUAGUUGCCUUAGCAUUGUUAACUGCGUAUGUAUUGCAGGUUUAUUGCUUGUGAUAGUUCAGUUAUUCAAGAAUCCACCUUUCAGAUGAUGCACCAAAGAACUUCUCAGUAUCAGCUCCAGUGAAAUCCAAAUAUUGAUAUUAACUUUGGUUCAGUGAAUUGCACUUUUUUGAAAUAUAAAUAUAAGGAAAACAGGGAUCCAUGUUUUGCGCCAGCCUCAAUGGUGAUUAGGCCUAUAUGCACAGGCCAGCGAGCCGCACAAGACAAUACAGUUUGGUUUCUGCACAUGAACGAAAGCUCAUUACCAGUACAACAUGCAGUCAUCAAUUUGUACAGAAUUAAGUUUAUUAGCAGCUAAUCCAAAGUUUCGGUAAGACGAGUAGGAUAACAAGUAUGAUGAGCUUAUACUUAUCAAUUAAAUUUAGUAAUUGUGAAGAGGAACUGGAUUCUCCUAUUUUGUAGUGUCCCAUCUAUAUCUGGUGGAACAAACAACUGCAUCUCAUGGUGUACUUAUUAUGAUUAUGAAGAUUCUGCUCUUUUUUUAGGACUUUCACACGUGUCUGUUUUCUUGCAUAAUUUUCCUGUGGAUAUCCUAUUGAUUUUCAUAUGACAUGAAGGAAAUUGAGCAAAAAUAUGGAAAAUAAGAAGAGACCGCCCUUGAACCGAACUACCACGGUUCAUUACAACAAUUCCUUGAAAAGACCAAAAUUCUUGUCAAGUUCCCUUCAGGCAGAUAAGAAGAUAAGAGAUGAUGAUAGGAAGUUGGGAUAACUGGUCCAAAUCAAAUCAAGUGGCAGUGUGCUUCCAGAAGUUUAAGAAGAAACACUAACAUUGGCCGUGCAGUUCGCUCGGUGUUCUAGCUGAAGUCAUCAACAAUCAAAUCUAUAGUUGAUAGAGAAAAUAUUAUAUUCAUCUUCUGAUUUCACAGUGCAGGCAUGUAAGAACUGGUGUUUAUAUCACUAUCUAUAUCAUUCACUGGAGAUUAUUUC